Molecule: ribosomal RNA, 514 nt
Filed under: Nauphoeta cinerea (gray cockroach)
Lineage: Eukaryota; Metazoa; Arthropoda; Insecta; Blattodea; Blaberidae
Description: eukaryotic LSU rRNA
Rfam family: Eukaryotic large subunit ribosomal RNA
Source: RNAcentral
GGAGUCUAACAUGUGCGCGAGUCGCUGGGAGCACUCGCUAAACCCGGAGGCGCAGUGAAAGCGGGGCGCGGUCGUAAGGCCGCCGUCGGGAGGAUGCCGUGCGGAGAACCCGCGCGGCCGCACUCCCGGGGCGCCUCGGCUUCGGCCGCAGGCGCACCCCGAGCGCACACGUUGGGACCCGAAAGAUGGUGAACUAUGCCUGGUCAGGACGAAGUCAGGGGAAACCCUGAUGGAGGUCCGCAGCGAUUCUGACGUGCAAAUCGAUCGUCAGAGCUGGGUAUAGGGGCGAAAGACUAAUCGAACCAUCUAGUAGCUGGUUCCCUCCGAAGUUUCCCUCAGGAUAGCUGGCGCCCAUUUGGAGAGGGACGAGUCUCAUCCGGUAAAGCGAAUGAUUAGAGGCCUUGGGGCCGAAACGACCUCAACCUAUUCUCAAACUUUAAAUGGGUGAGAUCUCCGGCUUGCUCGACUGAAGCCGCGAGAGUACUGGAUCAGGGUGCCAAGUGGGCCAUUUUUG